This 2718-nucleotide unclassified non-coding RNA is filed under the name Pocillopora damicornis (cauliflower coral). RNAcentral's name for it is "adenosine receptor A3-like, transcript variant X4". Lineage: Eukaryota; Metazoa; Cnidaria; Anthozoa; Scleractinia; Pocilloporidae. The record is from RNAcentral.
GUAUUGCGCCUUCGCUCUUAACUAGUUCAGUCAUUGCGACUCGAGUUUUGCUCAUUUUCUACGAACGAUGGUGAGAGCACAUUGGUGGUCAGAGUCGAAGGAAGAGUUCACAAAAUGAAAAGGUCAUAGAAAGCUUAACCUCCUCCUUCCGCCCGUUCCUAUCUUCACGACUCAGUCGAAUAUUCUGCAAUGUUAGUUAGACACAGUGAAUUCCAAGAUGUGGUUCGGAACUGAACGAACCAGUGUAAAAGACGCGAAUGAUUUCAUUUGUAUCACAUUUAAGUCCUUUGAUACCAAAUAAGUUAAGCCUGCUGUUUUUGAAUUUUUGAAAGCAAAUAAUUUUGGCUUCCUCUGACGGUAGAGGUAAACUUAUAAACAUUUUACCAAGUUUAUCGAUAAAAUUCCAAGUUAAGCACAUGACUUCGAAAUUAUCACACUUGCUUAGUCAGGGCUCAACAUGACACGUACAUUUCCCUUUUUAAACAGAUGAGAGGUAAACAAAACUUUCCAGAAUUUCGAUAACUUAAAUGUUGUUUCAAUCCUCGAUGAGAACGUUUCAAUUCAUUCCUUUCAUGUUAUCAGAAAGUGUUUUUUUUUAAUGUUAGGAAAUGUGUUUAUUGAAGAAACGUUUCGACUUCAAGAGAAUAUUCUCUUAUCGAGUAACAAUGACGCAAAUGAACAAGCCCAUCAAACAUUUCGAAAAAAAAGAAUUUCGAUCAAACCACUGAUCAAACUAUGACGUUUUAUUUUUAAAAUGAUUUCAAAGUUUUUCUUUUUUUAAAAUAGACUUUGGUCCUUUUCUCGUUUCAAAAAGUAAAAAUAAAAUUAAUUUCAAGUUUUCACCUUUCUUUACCGCAUAUUGAGGCCAGUUUGAAAACAUUUCUUUGUAAAGUUUUUAUUUAGAUUUUUUUCUUUCCCUUAGUUGAAGCAAAAAAUUAGCCUUGGUUAAUAAUUUGACAGACGGGCUCGCCAAGAAUUGACCGUAAACAGGUUCUAUUGCGAAAUUCAACGAAUCACAACACUUGUUCCCGCCCUUGCUGUAGACAUUUUUAAUAAAAUAAAGGCUGAAAAGCAGUCCUUAAUUCCCCAGAGCGCAGUGAGGGAGCUAUUCGCUUACUUAAGUAAACAGGCUUUCUCAAAUAAAAGUGUUUUCAGACGCGAGUGUCAUUAAACCAAAACUUAAUCAAUUACAUCGGUCAAUCAAAUGAAAGGGAAACAUCACGAACAGGCAAUGAGGACUCUGAAUAAAAAAUUCGCAGACUGCUUCACGCACUGAAAACGUGGGUGAGCAAGUAGCGAUUUCUUUCAGUUUUGAGUCUGCUUGUUGGGGAAUGUGGCGUGAAUUUUGUGGAAUAAUCACCUGACGCACAGUGAAUCAAGGCAAAUGCAAUUCUUGAUUAUAUUCGACACUUGAUCGAAAAUUUCCCUCCUUAGACGAUUGUCGCUCGCUAAUUACUUCCGAAAAAAUAUAGACGCUGACUCCAGAAAAACUUAAAGAUUUAGGAGCUAGAUUUUCCAGCAGGAUGUUCUGAAUGUUCUUUUUUUUAAGAGUGUCUCCUCAUAGAGGUUAUUCGAAAUCAAAGGCAAACAGUUUCUAAAACGAUUAUUAUACAAAUCUACCACGAACUUAAAUAAUUGAAAUUUGAAAAGAAACUUUACAUAAUAUGGGGGUGUAAAGGCUUAGUCUGGCAACAUGAUAUACCUAAAAACAAAAGAGUUAGUUCUGACGAACAGUUAUUUUCACCUCCGCAAGCUUGUUUAGCUUUCGAUCGAGUGGUCCUGGGCAUGAGACCUGAGUAAUCUUCGUCCGCCUUGUGUGCCACAGCCAGGCACCUGAUCUUUGGCAGAAUGCGAUGAGUCGGGGUAAUGUAGAGUAAUUAAUUAAACUAUUUUAGAUUUUGUCUUCCGGCUGCAUCAUCCGAGUAACUUGGGUUAGAUUUGCUCCAGUGACUUGCCUGGGAAAAUCUAGAUAGCAACGAUAGCUAACACAUCAUUUAGUUUAACAAUAACGCAAAAACAACAAAAUCAACCGAAAAACCAAACAUCUACAACUGAUCUUUGAUAUUUCUUUUUCGAACAUGAGGAGGUACUCUUAUCCACUUCAGGAAAAAAAAAAAAAAAAAAAAAAAAAAAAAAAAAAACGCUGACGAAUUAACCGAUACGACCAUACAGGGCAAAUAUUUAUCAAUCACUUCUCAGAUACACCGGAAAAGCGUUUAAUAUCACUCGCCAAACAUCAGUGAAAGACCGUGACCUGUUUGAGUUUGACAUUUCACCAAGAGUAGCUAAUUUCUUACUUCCUUAGUUCAAUUAAACCUCAAAGUCUCGGAGAAUGAAGUGUCUUAUUUCCUCCAUGGGAACUAACGGGCUGGAAAAAUUGGAAAAUAUUUUCAAUUCCACGACCAAUACGUCGUCAUUUUGGAAUUUUCUUGCCAAUACAUGAGACCGUGUUUAAAUGGUCACUUUACAUGACUUUUCCCUUGAGUUAUGCUUCUAAAAAAAAACCCGGUCGGGCAAUAUAGUAAAACUAUGGAGUUUUUUUUAAUUAAAAAGGGAGCGACAAGUCGAAGUCGGUGAAGAGAAAAAAGAUCGAUUAUAUUAAGUUACCGCGAUUAGCCAGGUGUGUACAUAUUACGCGUGUCUUUAUAAGACUUCCAGGGCAGGGUUCAUUUCCAUUUGGUUGUAUAACGCGUUUACUGCAAUAGGUUAUGUUCUAGG